RNAcentral lists this ribosomal RNA (468 nucleotides) under uncultured bacterium. RNAcentral describes it as "partial 16S ribosomal RNA". It matches the Rfam family "Bacterial small subunit ribosomal RNA", at positions 28 to 507 of the family's 1533-position model. The record is from RNAcentral.
GACGAACGCUGGCGGCGUGCUUAACACAUGCAAGUCGAACGGAAAGGCCCUGCUUUUGUGGGGUGCUCGAGUGGCGAACGGGUGAGUAACACGUGAGUAACCUGCCCUUGACUUUGGGAUAACUUCAGGAAACUGGGGCUAAUACCGGAUAGGAGCUCCUGCUGCAUUGUGUUGGUUGGAAAGUUUCGGCGGUUGGGGAUGGACUCGCGGCUUAUCAGCUUGUUGGUGGGGUAGUGGCUUACCAAGGCUUUGACGGGUAGCCGGCCUGAGAGGGUGACCGGCCACAAUGGGACUGAGAGACGGCCCAGAAUGCAACGGGAGGCAGCAGGGGGGAAUAUUGCACAAUGGGAGGAAGCCUGAUGCAGAAACGCAGCGAGCGGGAUGAUGGCCUUCGGGGUGUAAACAGAUUUCGCCUGUGACGAAGCGUGAGUGACGGUAAUGGGUAAAGAAGCACCGGCUAACUACGUG